CGCUGGCGGCGUGCCUAACACAUGCAAGUCGAACGGGGAUUUGUUUCGGCAGAAUCCUAGUGGCGAACGGGUGAGUAACGCGUAGGCAACCUGCCCUCCGGCCGGGGACAACACUCCGAAAGGGGUGCUAAUACCGGAUACGAAGUCUGUGCCGCAUGGUACGGAUUUGAAAGAUGGCCUCUGUUUACAAGCUAUCGCCGGGGGAUGGGCCUGCGUCCGAUUAGCUGGUUGGUGGGGUAACGGCCUACCAAGGCGACGAUCGGUAGCCGGUCUGAGAGGAUGAACGGCCACAUUGGGACUGAGACACGGCCCAGACUCCUACGGGAGGCAGCAGUGGGGAAUCUUCCGCAAUGGGCGCAAGCCUGACGGAGCAACGCCGCCGUGAGUGAGGAAGUUCUUCGGAACGUAAAGCUCUGUUGUUCCUGACGAACCUCCCUUCUAUCAACAACGGAAGGGACUGACGGUAGGGAACGAGGAAGCCACGGCUAACUACGUGCCAGCCGCCGC
This 507-nucleotide ribosomal RNA is filed under the name uncultured bacterium. RNAcentral describes it as "bacterial SSU rRNA". It matches the Rfam family "Bacterial small subunit ribosomal RNA", at positions 34 to 518 of the family's 1533-position model. The record is from RNAcentral.